Pelobates cultripes (western spadefoot toad) is the source of this 201-nucleotide non-coding RNA. Lineage: Eukaryota; Metazoa; Chordata; Amphibia; Anura; Pelobatidae. The record is from the annotation of a GenBank genome assembly.
UAUAACUCUAUCCCUGAAUUCAUGCACAGACUCUCCCUAUAACUCUAUCCCUGAAUUCAUGCACAGACUCUCCCUAUAACUCUAUCCCUGAAUUCAUGCACAGACUCUCCCUAUAACUCUAUCCCUGAAUUCAUACACAGACACUCCAUAUAACUCUAUCCCUGAAUUCAUGCACAGACUCUCCCUAUAACUCUAUCCCUG